UACGUAGGGGGCAAGCGUUGUCCGGAAUCAUUGGGCGUAAAGCGCGUGUAGGCGGCUUCGUAAGUCCGUUGUGAAAUCCUGGAGCUCAACUCCAGAACUGCCUUCGAUACUGGGAGCUCGAGUCCGGGAGAGGUGAGUGGAACUGCGAGUGUAGAGGCGAAAUUCGUAGAUAUUCGCAAGAACACCAGUGGCGAAGGCGGCUCACUGGCCCGGUACUGACGCUGAGGUGCGAAAGCGUGGGGAGCGAACAGG
This 252-nucleotide ribosomal RNA is filed under the name uncultured bacterium. RNAcentral's name for it is "partial 16S ribosomal RNA". It matches the Rfam family "Bacterial small subunit ribosomal RNA", at positions 524 to 776 of the family's 1533-position model. The record is from RNAcentral.